RNAcentral lists this long non-coding RNA (464 nucleotides) under Homo sapiens (human). RNAcentral's name for it is "HSALNT0222889". The record is from RNAcentral. Lineage: Eukaryota; Metazoa; Chordata; Mammalia; Primates; Hominidae.
GGAGCAGGGGUUGCUGAUAAGCCACUUGGUUUGGUGGCAGUCUGUGGUCUUCACCAAAGGAUCACAGUGCUAAAUACUUAUUUUGGAACUGAAACUCCAGAUUGGUAAUCUAGCUAGACUAGUUUUACUUUGUCUAUGCCAUUGAUCAUUUUUGGGUUUUUGGUAUUAAGAUGCUCAAUAUUGUAAAUAGAGGAAGAAAAAAGACCAGAUCAGAGGACAGAACUAUCUUAAGAGAGCGUUAUUCCAGAUUACCAGAGUUUAAAACAGCCUUGGCAAAGAUUCUUGCUGUAAACAUGUUAAGAGAGCCACUGCGCCCAGCUGGAAAAUUUUGAACAUACAUAAACAGAAUAGUAAAAUGAUUCCUCACGUACCUACCAUCCAGCUUUAGCGGUUCCCAAUUCUAGCCAGUUACUUGUUUCAUAUAUAUUCCCACCCAUCCCAGUUUAUUUGGAGACAAAUCGCAG